CCAAUAGCGUAUAUUAAAUUUGUUGUAGUUAAAAAGCUCGUAGUCGAACUUUGGGCGUGGCCGGGCGGUCCGCUGCUUCGGCGGCGAGUACUGCCUUACCUCAGGCCGCGCCUUUCCUCCUGGGGAGACGCGGGCGGGCUGCUUUCGGGCGGCCUGCCUGCGGGCAGCCAGGACGUUUACCUUGAAAAAAUUAGAGUGUUCAAAGCAGGCGCACGCUUGCAUAGAUUAGCAUGGAAUAAUGGAAUAGGACCAGUGGUUCUGUUGCGUUGGUUUCUUGGAACCGCGGUAAGGAUGAAUAGGGACAGUUGGGGGCAUUCGUAUUUCGCAGCUAGAGGUGAAAUUCUUGGAUUUGCGAAAGACGAACCUAUGCGAAAGCAUUUGCCAAGGAUGUUUUCAUUGAUCAAGAACGAAAGUUAGGGGAUCGAAGACGAUUAGAUACCGUCGUAGUCUUAACCAUAAACGAUGCCGACUAGGGAUCAGGCGAUGUUGCUUUCUGACUCGCCUGGCACCUUCAG
Molecule: ribosomal RNA, 515 nt
Filed under: uncultured Paraglomus
Lineage: Eukaryota; Fungi; Glomeromycota; Glomeromycetes; Paraglomerales; Paraglomeraceae
Description: SSU rRNA
Rfam family: Eukaryotic small subunit ribosomal RNA
Source: RNAcentral